Long non-coding RNA from Ictalurus punctatus (channel catfish), 2141 nucleotides. NCBI's taxonomy places the organism in Eukaryota, Metazoa, Chordata, Actinopteri, Siluriformes, Ictaluridae. The record is from Ensembl.
CCGGUGUGUAGAGCUCUGUCAGGUUCAGCGAACGCGCACACACACACACACACAAACACUAGCAGCUGGAAUACGGCUCGCUUCACGCCUACGCUGAAAAUCCCGACCUGUUCCUGAAACUGUCUGGCCUUGUGUUGACCACCCAUUUCUCUUUCAUAGAGAAGAACAUGGCGUCGGAAGGAGCGAAAGGGGAGCAGCCGCCUCCGCUGCAAACACUGCUAACCGCUGGCCAUGGAAGCGUCGAGACGGAUCUGAUUCACAGAAGGAGUUUCUUUUGACAAGAACAUGCGGUGUGGGCGUUCCAUCUGGUUGGAGAAAGAGUGCUGACAGAAUGCAGUUCUGACAGUGCUGACACCAUAAUUAAAGCUAAAGAAUGAUAUUUUAAUGAACAUUAAACCUGGAUUUCCUGGUGGGGGUAAAACCGUAGGCAUGUUUCUGUGCCACUUUUGUUGGACCUCUUUUGUAAAUUCACCAUGCCAGUAAAUUUAUUAUUCAAUAUAGAAAAAAUGUGGUUGGUAUUUAGGUGACUUUAAGCAAGAACCUAAUUGCUGCAGACAUUAAUCUAAAUCUAAAUUUAGCAAACUAGGUUCUUAGUCUUUAAACUGUGAUAGCAAUGUGAAAGAAUACAAGUGUGGUGUCAUCUGAAUGACUUUGAGUGAGGCUGUAUUUGUGCGCAUCCCUUCUGGUCGUAACACCAUUUUUUCCAGUCUGGCCGGGAAACCAGACUUUUUGGAGCAAGAUGGAGAAUGGAUUAAAGAAAGAGUUCACAGCAUUCUAGUCUCAUCCAGAGAUUUUCUGGAAGUCUGACUUGCAAGACUAAGAUGUUUCCAGAUUGUUGCCUGUGGGAUGCUUUAUACAGUUGGCCAUUGUUAAUGUCAUUCAAAUGGCCUCUUCUUUCCGGUGUAGGUUGUUCUCGGCCAUUCUGAGUCUCCCAGACUUUAAUGAUCUUAAACAUAUCCUGGUGUAGUCAUGUUUGCACAAACAUUAUACUUGUACAGUAAAAGACGAUGCACUAUUUAUUUAGGUGUCAACAUAGCUUUCAUUCCAUACAACUUAUGAUAUCACUGUUCAAGUAGCAAAUCUUCAAGUCAAAAACAUUUGAUUAUUCCCACCCCCACACACUAGAUUGCCAGUAAGUCCUGUUCAAAAGCAACUACUCAGUUGUUUUCCUGGAACACAGUAAUAUUCCCAGAGCACCAGGCUAGAAAACACUAUUUGCUGCCAGAAAGCUUAUUGAUUAUAUGUUUUAGGACUGUUUUAUGUCAUAUGUAAUGAAAGGGUUAAGCACAGACUCUUUCUCUGCUUUCAGAAGGGCUCACAGAAUAUUCAGCAAAAUUAUAGUAAAUUUUAUGUCAGAUUGAUAUAAUGACUGCAGAUUCCAAAUGUGUUCCAGUGUAUUUGUAAAAUCACAAUAGGUUGCAGUAUAUUAAAUAUUAACUGCCUGCUGCUAUAAACUAGUAACUCUCAUUUUGUUCUUGUAGCUGUUGUUUUUGUUUAUGUAACAUAGUUGUUUAAGUAAAAUAUAGCAGGCAGAAUUACUUUUUCCAGUGAGGAGCAAGAAAUUGCUCCAGUGAAUAAAAUGACAUUAACAGCAGUAGUGGUAUUAGAUAAAGGGAAUAUACAAUACAGUACAAUACAAUACAAUGUAAUAAACACUGUAAUUCAUAUUCACUCAGUGAGGGUAAGCAAUACUGUAUCUGGAAAUAUAGCCUUUUCUAUUUCUUUUUUGUGAUCGUAAUGCAUAUGCAAAAACAAGACUGGGCCAUAGAGAUGUAACGGUAUGAAAACUGUGUAAAACUAUCAUGGUUAUCAGUAUUAUCACAGUAUUGUUAAAAUGUACUGAAAAUGUACAAAAAGUACAGAUACACACACUGAAAUCAUUUAAACAGGUUUUAACCCUCUUACCCCUAAGGUCCCACAGUAUUAUGUCCCAUAACCCUAUAUUCCCCAGAGAAACAGCACGUCAACCCUGAGUUCCUGGGCCAAAAUCAACAUUUUAAUUUUAACAUUUUUAAGCCUUGAAAUUAGAGCACAAUUCUUAGCUAGAGAAAUUACGAAAAAAUUCUCGCUAAAAUCCUUAUACUCAUUUAGAAGUAUCAUACGAGCAUCAGCGUGGUCAAUGCCUUUAUCAAUAAUAAAUA